RNAcentral lists this ribosomal RNA (861 nucleotides) under uncultured organism. RNAcentral's name for it is "SSU rRNA". It matches the Rfam family "Bacterial small subunit ribosomal RNA", at positions 524 to 1381 of the family's 1533-position model. The record is from RNAcentral.
UACGGGGGGGGCAAGCGUUAUUCGUAAUCAUUGGGCGUAAAGCGCAUGUAGGCUGUUAAUUAAGUUCUAAUUUAAAUCCUAAGGCCUAACCUUAGAUUAAGUUGGAAAACUGAUUAACUCGAGUCCCAUAGAGGAUAGUGGAAUUUCUUGGUGAGAGAUCAAAUUCAUAGAUCCUAGAAGGAAGACCAACGGCCGAGGCAAUUAUCUAGGUGGAGACUGACGCUGAUGUGCGAAAGCGUAGGGAGCAAACAGGAUUAGAGACCCUGGUAGUCUACGCUGUGAACGAUGAAUGUUAAAUAUUGGAAUAUUUCAGUAUUAAAAGCUAACGCCUUAAACAUUCUGCCUGAGGAGUACGGUCGCAAGAUUAAAACUCAAAGGAAUUGGCGGGGGUCGGCACAAGCGGUGGAGCAUGUGGUUUAAUUCGAUAAAACGCGCAAAACCUUACCAGUUCUUGACCGUUGAUUUAAUCUUUUAUUUACUUUAUGAAAGUUUCUUCUUUUAAAUCAUUUGUAACAGGUGUUGCAUGGCUAUCGUCAGUUCGUGUUGUGAAAUGUUUGGUUAAGUCCUUUUAACGAACGCAACCCUCAUUCAUGUCGCUGGCGCUUCUUUGAAGCACGCACUCACGAAAACUGCCGGCAAAAGCCGGAUGAAGGAGAGGAUGACGUUAAGUCCUCAUGACCCUUAUGAACUGGGCUACACACGUGCUACAAUGGCGACCACAAUGGGAUGCAAUGAUGUGAGUCGGAGCAAAUCUUUAAAAGUCGUCUUAGUUCGGAUUGUUCUCUGCAACUCGAGAAUAUGAAGUUGGAAUCGCUAGUAAUCUGCAGAUCAGCACGCUGCGGUGAAUACGUAAACUGGCCU